Molecule: ribosomal RNA, 254 nt
Filed under: uncultured bacterium
Lineage: Bacteria
Description: partial 16S ribosomal RNA
Rfam family: Bacterial small subunit ribosomal RNA
Source: RNAcentral
UACGUAGGGUGCGAGCGUUGUCCGGAAUUAUUGGGCGUAAAGAGCUCGUAGGCGGUGUGUCACGUCGGCCGUGAAAACCUGGGGCUUAACUCUGGGCGUGCGGUCGAUACGGGCAUCACUAGAGUUCGGCAGGGGAGACUGGAAUUCCUGGUGUAGCGGUGAAAUGCGCAGAUAUCAGGAGGAACACCGGUGGCGAAGGCGGGUCUCUGGGCCGAUACUGACGCUGAGGAGCGAAAGCAUGGGUAGCGAGCAGG